CACGUAGGGGGCAAGCGUUGUCCGGAUUUAUUGGGCGUAAAGAGCUCGUAGGCGGUCUGUCGCGUCGGUCGUGAAAACUUGGGGCUUAACCCUGAGCUUGCGGUCGAUACGGGCAUGACUGGAGUUCGGCAGGGGAGACUGGAAUUCCUGGUGUAGCGGUGAAAUGCGCAGAUAUCGGGAGGAACACCGGUGGCGAAGGCGGCGACCUGGGUAGAUACUGACGCUGAGGUGCGAAAGCGUGGGGAGCAAACAGG
RNAcentral lists this ribosomal RNA (254 nucleotides) under uncultured bacterium. RNAcentral's name for it is "partial 16S ribosomal RNA". It matches the Rfam family "Bacterial small subunit ribosomal RNA", at positions 524 to 776 of the family's 1533-position model. The record is from RNAcentral.